GGGAUUGUGGCUCAGUGGUAGAGCGCUUGCCUAGUCUGUGUGAGGCCCUGGGUUCAAUUCUCAGCACCA
This is a non-coding RNA of Ictidomys tridecemlineatus (thirteen-lined ground squirrel), 69 nucleotides long. NCBI's taxonomy places the organism in Eukaryota, Metazoa, Chordata, Mammalia, Rodentia, Sciuridae. The record is from Rfam.